Molecule: ribosomal RNA, 253 nt
Filed under: uncultured bacterium
Lineage: Bacteria
Description: partial 16S ribosomal RNA
Rfam family: Bacterial small subunit ribosomal RNA
Source: RNAcentral
UACGUAGGGGGCAAGCGUUGUCCGGAUUCAUUGGGCGUAAAGAGCGUGUAGGCGGCCAGGUAGGUCGGUUGUGAAAACUGGAGGCUCAACCUUCAGAGGUCGACCGAAACCAUCUGGCUAGAGUCCGGGAGAGGAGAGUGGAAUUCCUGGUGUAGCGGUGAAAUGCGCAGAUAUCAGGAAGAACACCCGUGGCGAAGGCGGCUCACUGGACCGGAACUGACGCUGAGGCGCGAAAGCGUGGGGAGCAAACAGG